GGGGGAUAAAUUAAUAAAGUAUAAAUAAUAAAAAAAUUUUUAAUAUUAAAAUAUUUUAAUGGGGGUUAAAGUAUAUUUAAUAGAAAAAAUAAAAAAAUUUAUAGAAAAUUAGUAUUGUAAAAGAAAUUUGAAAUAUAUUGAAAAUAAAUUUAUUUAAAAGUAAAUUUAAUUUAUUGUAUCUUGUGUAUCAGAGUUUAUUAAUAAUAAUUUUUAUAUAUAAAAUUUUCUCGAAUUUAAAAGAGAUAAUUAAUUAUUAAAAUUAAUGUUGUAUAAUUAUUUUAAAUAAUUAAUUGGAAAUGAGAUGUUAAUCGUUUUUAAAUAUAUCUAGUUUUUUUAGAAAAAAAUUUAAUUUUAAAUUUUAAAAAGAAAGUAUAAUUUUAAUUAAUUAAAAUUAUAUUUUUAAAAUUAAAUAUUUUAAGGGAUAAGCUUUAAAAUAAAUUUUUAUAAUAAAUUUUAACAAUAAUUAAAAUUUUUAAAAUUUAUAUUGUUUAUAAAUUAUAAUUUUUUAUAAAUAAUUUUAAUUAAAUUAAAAUUUUAAAUUUAUUUAAUUUUUUAUUAAAAAAUAUUUUUUAAUAAUUAAAAUUUAGAUAUAAUGAUAAAAUUAGUAUAUAAAUGAAUAAAUAAUAUAGUUUAUUAUUUGAUAAUUUAAUAAAAGGAAUUCGGCAAAAAUUAUAUUCACUUGUUUAUCAAAAACAUGUCUUUUUGGUUAAUAAUUUAAAGUCUAAUCUGCCCACUGAUAAUAUAUUAAAGGGCUGCAGUAUUUUGACUGUACAAAGGUAGCAUAAUCAUUAGUCUCUUAAUUGGUGACUUGUAUGAAAGAUUUGAUGAGAUAUAUACUGUCUCUUUUUAAUUUAUAAAAUUUAAUUUUUUAGUUAAAAAGCUAAAAUAUAUUUAAAAGACGAGAAGACCCUAUAGAGUUUUAUAUUUAUAUAAAUUAAAAUUUUUUAUAAAUUUUAAAAUUUUAAUUUAUAUAAAUAUUUUGUUGGGGUGAUAAAAAAAUUAAAAUAACUUUUUUUAUAAUUUUACAUUAAUAAAUGAAUAAAUGAUCCGUAAUUUACGAUUAUAAGAUAAAAUUACCUUAGGGAUAACAGCGUAAUUUUUUUUUUUAGUUCAAAUAAGAAAAAAAGUUUGCGACCUCGAUGUUGGAUUAAGAUAAAAUUUAAAUGCAAAAGUUUAAAAUUUUUGAUCUGUUCGAUCAUUAAAAUCUUACAUGAUCUGAGUUCAAACCGGUGUAAGCCAGGUUGGUUUCUAUCUUUAGAUUAAUAAAAUAUUUUAGUACGAAAGGAUCAAAUAUUUAAAAUAGUUUUAUUUAAAAGAAUUUUAAUAAUAGUAGAUAUUUUUAAAUAUG
This 1348-nucleotide ribosomal RNA is filed under the name Parnassius nomion. RNAcentral's name for it is "16S ribosomal RNA". The stretch from base 1084 to 1243 matches the Rfam family "Eukaryotic large subunit ribosomal RNA", at positions 2825 to 2984 of the family's 3401-position model. The record is from RNAcentral. Lineage: Eukaryota; Metazoa; Arthropoda; Insecta; Lepidoptera; Papilionidae.